UCCAGGAGAACCCGAACGACCAGCUGUACCCGCUGUUCCAGUACUUCGAGAACUGGUGCCAGGAUGAGAACCGCCACGGCGAUUUCUUCACCGCGUGCCUCAAGGCGAGGCCGGAGUUCAUCAACGACUGGGAGGCGAAGCUCUGGGCGCGAUUCUUCUGCCUCUCCGUGUACGUCACCAUGUACCUCAACGAUCACAGCCGCACGGAGUUCUACGAGUCCAUCGGCCUCGACACGACGCAGUUUAACAUGCACGUGAUCCACCAGACGAACAAGACGACCGCGCAGAUCUUCCCGCAGGUGAUCGACACGUACAACCCGAAGUUCAAGGAGUACCUCGACAACCUCAGAGACAUCAACGUGAAGCUUUCCAAGGCGCAAUCGCCGAUGGAGAAGGCGCCGCUGAUCGCCGGGUUCGCCGCGAACCUUCUCGGCGUCGCGUUGAUGAAGCCGGUCGACUCCGGGAGCAUCGAUUUCGUCGAGGACGUCAACUCCCCGGCGUUCAUGUACUAAGCGACGACGAGACGAACGAACGAUGAGAGGUUGAGAGGUUGUUUGUGAUGAAGAGGGCGGAGGAUUAACGGAGGAGGAAGAAGCUUCGCGAGGGAGCGACGGACGACGCGAGGGACGGACGGAUGGACGUUGAUGACUGAUCUGAUCUGAUCUGAUGAUGAUUGAUUUUUUGGGGGGCGACGGUCCAGCGCGAGCGACCGUCGCCCGGGUGGCGAUUGUGAUGACGUGACUCGACGACGACGCUCGAGAGGCGCCCGCGAGGGCGCGGACCCGGGGAUGGAGUCGCGGCGUCUCGAGAAGGACGACGACGACGACGGACGGCGGCGGCGGC
RNAcentral lists this long non-coding RNA (843 nucleotides) under Micromonas pusilla. RNAcentral's name for it is "long non-coding RNA (MPUS_LNC000164)". The record is from RNAcentral. Lineage: Eukaryota; Viridiplantae; Chlorophyta; Mamiellophyceae; Mamiellales; Mamiellaceae.